UUGGAGGAAUGUAUAGCGAAAGCUAAUUGUAUUAACCAACAGUUGAUGCAAUAUCGACUAUGUCGACUAAAAUUCUAGGUAGAGUAAUGAUAAUGACAUUUUUUACCUAUAGGUCUUGACCAAAUCACGUGCCAGCAGUCGCGGUAAUUCGUGGAAGACUAGUGUUAUUCAUCUUUAAUAGGUUUAAAGGGUACCUAGACGGUAUAUCUAGCCCAAAAAGGGUACUGGUAAACUAGAGUUUAAUGUGAGGGGGGGAGUACUAAUGGAGUAGAGAUGAAAUUCUGUCAUACCAAGAGGUAACAGGUAUCGGCGAAAGCAACCCUUUAUGCAAAAACUGACGUUGAGGGACGAAGGCCUCGGUCACAAACAGGAUUAGAUACCCUAGUAGUCUGGGCAGACAACGCUGAAUGCCAUAGAUUAGAUUGUAUUUCUUCUAUAAAUGAAAGUGUAAGCAUUCCACCUCAAGAGUAAUUUGGCGACAUAGAAACUGAAAUCAUUAGACCGUUUCUGAAACCAGUAGUGAAGUAUGUUGUUUAAUUUGUUGGCCCUCAAAAAACCUUACCACAAUUUGAAUAUUUUUAUAUUUCUUAUAAUUAUACAGGAGUUGCACGGCUGUCUUCAGUUAAUGUCGUGAGAAUUUGGUUAGUUCCAAAAAAUUAACGUAAACCCUUACUUUAUUUUUUUUUAUAAAGUUGUUCACCGCUAUAUUGGAUAUGAUAAAAGGA
Molecule: ribosomal RNA, 725 nt
Filed under: Ophioparma lapponica
Lineage: Eukaryota; Fungi; Ascomycota; Lecanoromycetes; Umbilicariales; Ophioparmaceae
Description: partial small subunit ribosomal RNA
Rfam family: Bacterial small subunit ribosomal RNA
Source: RNAcentral